CUGCAGAUUACUACGCGGAGGAGAAAUAUAUAACCUUUAUAACUGGUAUCAUGGGCAUGUGCUUGCAGCCUUCAUGAUAUAUACAUACAUGUGUAUCGAUCCACAUGAGUGAGAGGGGGGAUUCAUCCUACUACUACGCACACCCUCUAUCGCUAGUUUAUAUAGGUCACUCCGCUCUGUGCCAUCAGGUCCACCCUUCUGUUGGAAAUACAAUAAACGCAGUAAAGUAUACAAUUCCAAAUCCCUCCUCUUCUCUUAAGCAAGCCCGUAAUAUAGCCUCCGCGAUGGAACCAACCCCACGAACCCACUCCACCACCCUAGCCGAACAGGAAAACAUUCCUGCCAGCAUGCCCGCCCUCUACCUGCCCCUCCCGCCCUCACACCCGUACACAACCACAAACCCCCCCUGGCCCUCCACCCUCCUCUACACCGCAACUCACCCCACCCCAACCCCCACCUCCUCGCAGUACCUGGUAAAAAUCCAAACAACAGCCCUCUGCCGCGGCGAGCUCGGGUGGGCCGAAACCCUCUCCCCCGCAUCCCAUGCCUCCUCCCGGCCCACCACCACAACGACAACCCAACCACAGCCCGACAACCCCGUGCUCCUCAAACGCAUCCCGGGCCACGACAUCAGCGGCAUCGUCCUCUCCACCCCGCAGAUCGACGAGCGGAGCAUGGCGGGGCCCAAAUUCAAAGUCGGCGACGAGGUGAUUGGCCUGCUUGCGUUUGCGAG
This 733-nucleotide small RNA is filed under the name Histoplasma ohiense. RNAcentral's name for it is "hypothetical lncRNA". Lineage: Eukaryota; Fungi; Ascomycota; Eurotiomycetes; Onygenales; Ajellomycetaceae. The record is from RNAcentral.